This 450-nucleotide ribosomal RNA is filed under the name uncultured bacterium. RNAcentral's name for it is "partial 16S ribosomal RNA". It matches the Rfam family "Bacterial small subunit ribosomal RNA", at positions 354 to 796 of the family's 1533-position model. The record is from RNAcentral.
GUGGGGAAUCUUCCGCAAUGGACGAAAGUCUGACGGAGCAACGCCGCGUGAGUGAAGAAGGUUUUCGGAUCGUAAAGCUCUUUCGUUAGGGACGAACGUGCUCUUUGUGAAUAAUGAGGAGUAAUGACGGUACCUAAAUAAGAAGCCACGGCUAACUACGUGCCAGCAGCCGCGGUAAUACGUAGGUGGCAAGCGUUGUCCGGAAUUAUUGGGCGUAAAGCGCGCGCAGGCGGGAUAUCAAGUCUGUCUUAAAAGUGCGAGGCUCAACCUCGUGAGGGGACAGAAACUGGUAUUCUUGAGUGUCGGAGAGGAAAGUGGAAUUCCAAGUGUAGCGGUGAAAUGCGUAGAGAUUUCGAAGAACACCAGUGGCGAAGGCGACUUUCUGGACGAUGUCUGACGCUGAGGCGCGAAAGCUAGGGGAGCGAACGGGAUUAGAAACCCCAGUAGUCC